AUUGAACGCUGGCGGCAUGCCUAACACAUGCAAGUCGAACGAGAUCUUCGGGUCUAGUGGCGCACGGGUGCGUAACGCGUGGGAAUCUGCCCUUUGGUUCGGAAUAACAGUUGAAAACGACUGCUAAUACCGGAUGAUGACGAAAGUCCAAAGAUUUAUCGCCAGAGGAUGAGCCCGCGUAGGAUUAGCUAGUUGGUGUGGUAAAGGCGCACCAAGGCGACGAUCCUUAGCUGGUCUGAGAGGAUGAUCAGCCACACUGGGACUGAGACACGGCCCAGACUCCUACGGGAGGCAGCAGUGGGGAAUAUUGGACAAUGGGCGAAAGCCUGAUCCAGCAAUGCCGCGUGAGUGAUGAAGGCCUUAGGGUUGUAAAUCUCUUUUACCCGGGAUGAUAAUGACAGUACCGGGAGAAUAAGCUCCGGCUAACUCCGUGCCAGCCGCCGCGGUAA
RNAcentral lists this ribosomal RNA (449 nucleotides) under uncultured bacterium. RNAcentral describes it as "partial 16S ribosomal RNA". It matches the Rfam family "Bacterial small subunit ribosomal RNA", at positions 30 to 523 of the family's 1533-position model. The record is from RNAcentral.